RNAcentral lists this long non-coding RNA (420 nucleotides) under Struthio camelus australis. RNAcentral describes it as "lncRNA (ENSSCUG00000004544.1)". Lineage: Eukaryota; Metazoa; Chordata; Aves; Struthioniformes; Struthionidae. The record is from RNAcentral.
GCUCCACCCUUUAUAGGCGCCGCCGGGACCGGGGCCGCCCCGCAGAGCCGGCAGCAGCGGCACCGAGACAGAGCGACACAGGCACCGGGGCACCGACACCCAGAGUGACACCGGGGAACCGACACCGGCACCAACACCGGGGCACUGAGAGUGACACCGGGGCACCAGGAUUGACACCAACAUCAGGGCACCAGCACCAAUACCAAAACCAGGGCACCGGGACUGAGACCAACACCAGGACACCAACACCGGCACCAGCUCACCAGCUCACCAGGGCUGACACCGGCACUGACACCGGGGCACCAGGACUGAGACAGACACCGGAGCACCGGCACCACCACCAAGACUGAGACCAUCACCAACAGCAACAGGAUGCAGGUGGCGUUGGUGACGCUGACGUGGGUGGCCCUGGCGGGCGUC